Molecule: microRNA precursor, 98 nt
Filed under: Canis lupus familiaris (dog)
Lineage: Eukaryota; Metazoa; Chordata; Mammalia; Carnivora; Canidae
Description: mir-8834 microRNA precursor family
Rfam family: mir-8834 microRNA precursor family
Source: Rfam by way of RNAcentral
AGGAGGAACAACCCCAGUGGUUGCUGCAGCUCUGGAAACCUGGAUUCAGCUCCCGCAGGAACUAUUCUGUCUGUAGGGCCUGGAGGCUCCGGGGUGGG